Molecule: ribosomal RNA, 433 nt
Filed under: uncultured bacterium
Lineage: Bacteria
Description: partial 16S ribosomal RNA
Rfam family: Bacterial small subunit ribosomal RNA
Source: RNAcentral
CGCGAACGCUGGCGGCAGGCCUAACACAUGCAAGUCGGACGAACUCUUCGUUGUUAGUGGCGGGCUUGUGAGUAACACGGUGGAACGUGCCUUUUGGUUCGUUAUCCCUCAGGGACACUUUUUCUUAUCCCGAAUGUGCCCUUCCGGGGAAAGAUCUAUCGCCAUUAGAUCUGCCCGCGUCUGAUUAGAUAGUUGGUUAUGUAACCGCUCACCAACGCGACGAUCAAUAGCUGGUCUGAGAGGAUGACAAGCCACACUGGGACUGAGACACGGGCCAGACUCAUACGGGUGGCAGAGGUGGGGAAUCUUGCGCAAUGGGCGACAGCCUGGCGCAGCCAUGCCGCGUGAAUGAUGAAGGGCUUAGGAUUGUAAAAUUCUUUCACCGGGGACGAGAAUGACGGUACCCGGAGAAGAAGCCCCGGCUAACUUCGUG